UACGUAGGGCGCAAGCGUUUGUCCGGAAUUAUUGGGCGUAAAGAGCUCGUAGGCGGCUUGUCACGUCGGGUGUGAAAGCCCGGGGCUUAACCCCGGGUCUGCAUUCGAUACGGGCUGGCUAGAGUGUGGUAGGGGAGAUCGGAAUUCCUGGUGUAGCGGUGAAAUGCGCAGAUAUCAGGAGGAACACCGGUGGUGUAGACGGCUCACUGGACCGUAACUGACGCUGAGACACGAAAGCGUGGGGAGCAAACAGG
RNAcentral lists this ribosomal RNA (254 nucleotides) under uncultured bacterium. RNAcentral describes it as "partial 16S ribosomal RNA". It matches the Rfam family "Bacterial small subunit ribosomal RNA", at positions 524 to 776 of the family's 1533-position model. The record is from RNAcentral.